Molecule: ribosomal RNA, 405 nt
Filed under: uncultured bacterium
Lineage: Bacteria
Description: partial 16S ribosomal RNA
Rfam family: Bacterial small subunit ribosomal RNA
Source: RNAcentral
AUUGAACGCUGGCGGCAGGCCUAACACAUGCAAGUCGAGCGAGCGGCGGACGGGUGAGUAAUAUAUCGGAACGUGCCCAGUAGCGGGGGAUAACUCCUCGAAAAAGAGGCUAAUACCCCACACAAUUGUAGCGGCCGCUAUCGCAUUAGCUAGUUGGGGGGGUAAAGGCGCACCAAGGCAACGAUCCGUAGCUGGUUUGUGAGGACGACCAGCCACACUGGGACUGAGACACGGCCCAGACUCCUACGGGAGGCAGCAGGGGGGAAUUUUGGACAAUGGGGGAAACCCUGAUCCAGCCAUCCCGCGUGUAUGAGAAGGCCUUCGGGUUGUAAAGUACUUUUGGCAGAGAAGCGGUAUCUGCAGAAUAAGCACCGGCUAACUACGUGCCAGCAGCCGCGGUAAUUC